This 468-nucleotide ribosomal RNA is filed under the name uncultured bacterium. Its description in RNAcentral is "partial 16S ribosomal RNA". It matches the Rfam family "Bacterial small subunit ribosomal RNA", at positions 28 to 507 of the family's 1533-position model. The record is from RNAcentral.
GACGAACGCUGGCGGCGUGCUUAACACAUGCAAGUCGAACGGAAAGGCCCUGCUUUUGUAGGGUGCUCGAGUGGCGAACGGGUGAGUAACACGUGAGUAACCUGCCCUUGACUUUGGGAUAACUUCAGGAAACUGGGGCUAAUACCGGAUAGGAGCUCCUGCUGCAUGGUGGGGGUUGGAAAGUUUCGGCGGUUGGGGAUGGACUCGCGGCUUAUCAGCUUGUUGGUGGGGUAGUGGCUUACCAAGGCUUUGACGGGUAGCCGGCCUGAGAGGGUGACCGGCCACAUUGGGAGUGAGAUACGGCCCAGACUCCUACGGGAGGCAGCAGUGGGGAAUAUUGCACAAUGGGCGGAAGCCUGAUGCAGCAACGCCGCGUGCGGGAUGACGGCCUUCGGGUUGUAAACCGCUUUCGCCUGUGACGAAGCGUGAGUGACGGUAAUGGGUAAAGAAGCACCGGCUAACUACGUG